This is a small nucleolar RNA of Juglans microcarpa x Juglans regia, 77 nucleotides long. RefSeq annotates it as small nucleolar RNA snoR122. Lineage: Eukaryota; Viridiplantae; Streptophyta; Magnoliopsida; Fagales; Juglandaceae. The record is from RefSeq and is a predicted model, not a curated record. The transcript has a single exon.
UGCCAAUGAUGUAUUUGAAUUGCAUGUAUUAUCAGAUAUGAUUGUGAUGAUAUCUAAUUGUCACUACCUCUGAGGCA